UGGGGAAUAUUGCACAAUGGGCGAAAGCCUGAUGCAGCGACGCCGCGUGCGGGAUGAAGGCCUUCGGGUUGUAAACCGCUUUUAAUUGGGAGCAAGCGAGAGUGAGUGUACCUUUUGAAUAAGCACCGGCUAACUACGUGCCAGCAGCCGCGGUAAUACGUAGGGUGCAAGCGUUGUCCGGAAUUAUUGGGCGUAAAGAGCUCGUAGGCGGUUUGUCACGCCUGGUGUGAAAGUCCAUCGCUUAACGGUGGAUCUGCGCCGGGUACGGGCAGGCUAGGGUGCAGUAGGGGAGAUUGGAAUUCCCGGUGUAACGGUGGAAUGUGUAGAUAUCGGGAAGAACACCAAUGGCGAAGGCAGAUCUCUGGGCUGUUACUGACGCUGAGGAGCGAAAGCAUGGGGAGCGAACAGGAUUAGAUACCCUGGUAGUCCAUGCCGUAAAACGGUGGAUGCUGGAUGUGGGACCCUUCCA
This 469-nucleotide ribosomal RNA is filed under the name uncultured bacterium. RNAcentral's name for it is "partial 16S ribosomal RNA". It matches the Rfam family "Bacterial small subunit ribosomal RNA", at positions 355 to 835 of the family's 1533-position model. The record is from RNAcentral.